RNAcentral lists this ribosomal RNA (464 nucleotides) under uncultured bacterium. RNAcentral describes it as "partial 16S ribosomal RNA". It matches the Rfam family "Bacterial small subunit ribosomal RNA", at positions 339 to 795 of the family's 1533-position model. The record is from RNAcentral.
CUACGGGACGCUCCAGUGGGGAAUAUUGCACAAUGGGCGCAAGCCUGAUGCAGCCAUGCCGCGUGUAUGAAGAAGGCCUUCGGGUUGUAAAGUACUUUCAGCGGGGAGGAAGGGAGUAAAGUUAAUACCUUUGCUCAUUGACGUUACCCGCAGAAGAAGCACCGGCUAACUCCGUGCCAGCAGCCGCGGUAAUACGGAGGGUGCAAGCGGUAAUCGGAAUUACUGGGCGUAAAGCGCACGCAGGCGGUUUGUUAAGUCAGAUGUGAAAUCCCCGGGCUCAACCUGGGAACUGCAUCUGAUACUGGCAAGCGUGAGUCUCGUAGAGGGGGGUAGAAUUCCAGGUGUAGCGGUGAAAUGCGUAGAGAUCUGGAGGAAUACCGGUGGCGAAGGCGGCCCCCUGGACGAAGACUGACGCUCAGGUGCGAAAGCGUGGGGAGCAAACAGGAUUAGAUACCCGAGUAGUC